UACGGAGGGUGCAAGCGUUAUCCGGAUUCACUGGGUUUAAAGCGCGCGUAGGCGGAAGGUGAAGCGUGGCCUGAAAGCCCCCGGCUCAACCGGGGAGGGCGGCUGCGAACUGGCCUUCUUGAGGGCGAUAGAGGGGGGCGGAAUUCCUGGUGUAGCGGUGAAAUGCGUAGAGAUCAGGAGGAACACCCGUGGCGAAGGCGGCCCCCUGGGUCGGCCCUGACGCUGAGGCGCGAAAGCGUGGGGAGCGAACGGG
This 253-nucleotide ribosomal RNA is filed under the name uncultured bacterium. Its description in RNAcentral is "partial 16S ribosomal RNA". It matches the Rfam family "Bacterial small subunit ribosomal RNA", at positions 524 to 776 of the family's 1533-position model. The record is from RNAcentral.